Molecule: ribosomal RNA, 301 nt
Filed under: uncultured bacterium
Lineage: Bacteria
Description: partial 16S ribosomal RNA
Rfam family: Bacterial small subunit ribosomal RNA
Source: RNAcentral
CAGCCGCCACGGGAAUACGGAGGGGGCUAGCGUUGUUCGGAAUUACUGGGCGUAAAGCGCACGUAGGCGGCUUGGUAAGUUAGAGGUGAAAGCCCAGGGCUCAACCCUGGAAUUGCCUUUAAGACUGCCGAGCUAGCAGGUGAGAGAGGUAAGUGGAAUUCCGAGUGUAGAGGUGAAAUUCGUAGAUAUUCGGAAGAACACCAGUGGCGAAGGCGGCUUACUGGCUCAUACUGGACGCUGAGGUGCGAAAGCGUGGGGAGCAAACAGGAUUAGAUACCCCGGUAGUCCCUGUCUCUUAUAC